Molecule: ribosomal RNA, 509 nt
Filed under: uncultured bacterium
Lineage: Bacteria
Description: bacterial SSU rRNA
Rfam family: Bacterial small subunit ribosomal RNA
Source: RNAcentral
GACGAACGCUGGCGGCGUGCCUAACACAUGCAAGUCAAGGGGAAACGGGUAGCAAUAUCCGGAGUACACUGGCGCACGGGUGAGUAACGCGUAGGUAACCUGCCCAUAGGACGGGGAUAAUUCAGCGAAAGCUGGACUAAUACCCGAUGUUGAGACGUCAUCGCAUGGUGAUGUCUUGAAAAGCCCGCAAGGGUGCCGAUGGAUGGGCCUGCGUCCCAUUAGGUAGUUGGUAGGGUAACGGCCUACCAAGCCUGCGAUGGGUAGCUGGUGUGAGAGCACGACCAGUCACACGGGCACUGAGACACGGGCCCGACUCCUACGGGAGGCAGCAGUAAGGAAUAUUGGCCAAUGGACGAAAGUCUGAACCAGCCAUGCCGCGUGAAGGAUGAAGGCCCUCUGGGUUGUAAACUUCUUUUAUAGGGGACAAAAAAGGGAAUUACUUUCCCACUUGACGGUACCCUAGGAAUAAGCACCGGCUAACUCCGUGCCAGCAGCCGCGGUAAUUCUCG